CUGAAAUCUCCAAAAUCAAAUUCAAAUCGAAGAUCACUUCUCCUAAAAUCUUUGAUGUAGGGUUUCAUAAACCAUCAAUAAUAGUGUUCUCAGUCAUCUUCUCCUUUCAUCGUCCUCCCUCCGGUUCCAUUUAAACAAGUUUCUGUGGCUUACUUGUUGUCUUGCUUUCUUACGGUUAGCUGAUAUUUCGUGAGAAUCCAUUUACACCGGUAUUACAUCACUGGAUGCAUGUGGAUCAUCAAAUGACGAUCGAGAGUGAUUAGUGGAACUGGGAUCACAACUUGGUGCAGAUGUGUUGACGUGAUGUUGCUGCUGGUAAUGGGUUCCUGAUCCCUAAUGAUAAUCACAGAGUUCUGGAGUUAAGAUUCCAAAGUUCGAUAGAAGAGCAAUUGCGACCAAGUGUUUCGAAGCUUUGGAGUUCAGAGUUAGAAGAAUAAC
Long non-coding RNA from Cynara cardunculus var. scolymus (artichoke), 438 nucleotides. RefSeq lists it as uncharacterized. The transcript has 3 exons. The record is from RefSeq and is a predicted model, not a curated record. Lineage: Eukaryota; Viridiplantae; Streptophyta; Magnoliopsida; Asterales; Asteraceae.